RNAcentral lists this ribosomal RNA (415 nucleotides) under uncultured Actinomycetes bacterium. Its description in RNAcentral is "bacterial SSU rRNA". It matches the Rfam family "Bacterial small subunit ribosomal RNA", at positions 9 to 426 of the family's 1533-position model. The record is from RNAcentral. Lineage: Bacteria; Bacillati; Actinomycetota; Actinomycetes.
GAGUUUGAUCUUGGCUCAGGACGAACGCUGGCGGCGUGCUUAACACAUGCAAGUCGAGCGGUAAGGCCCCUUCGGGGUACGACGAGCGGCGAACGGGUGAGUAACACGUGAGCAACCUACCCUCAACUUUGGGAUAAGCCUCGGAAACGGGGUCUAAUACCGGAUAAUACUACGGGCCGUCAUGGUUUGUGGUUGAAAGUUCUGGCGGUUGGGGAUGGGCUCGCGGCCUAUCAGCUUGUUGGUGGGGUAAUGGCCUACCAAGGCGUCGACGGGUAGCCGGCCUGAGAGGGCGACCGGCCACACUGGGACUGAGACACGGCCCAGACUCCUACGGGAGGCAGCAGUGGGGAAUAUUGCGCAAUGGACGAAAGUCUGACGCAGCAACGCCGCGUGAGGGAUGACGGCCUUCGGUUGU